RNAcentral lists this ribosomal RNA (260 nucleotides) under uncultured Actinomycetales bacterium. Its description in RNAcentral is "partial 16S ribosomal RNA". It matches the Rfam family "Bacterial small subunit ribosomal RNA", at positions 524 to 783 of the family's 1533-position model. Lineage: Bacteria; Bacillati; Actinomycetota; Actinomycetes; Actinomycetales. The record is from RNAcentral.
UACGUAGGGCGCAAGCGUUGUCCGGAAUUAUUGGGCGUAAAGAGCUCGUAGGCGGUCUGUCGCGUCUGCUGUGAAAUCCCGAGGCUCAACCUCGGGCUUGCAGUGGGUACGGGCAGACUAGAGUGCGGUAGGGGAGAAUGGAAUUCCUGGUGUAGCGGUGGAAUGCGCAGAUAUCAGGAGGAACACCGAUGGCGAAGGCAGUUCUCUGGGCCGUAACUGACGCUGAGGAGCGAAAGCGUGGGGAGCGAACAGGAUUAGAU